Molecule: long non-coding RNA, 743 nt
Filed under: Homo sapiens (human)
Lineage: Eukaryota; Metazoa; Chordata; Mammalia; Primates; Hominidae
Description: non-protein coding lnc-OTUD4-5:3
Source: RNAcentral
GUUCAACGCCGUUGGCGAAGCCAGCUGCUGGAGGUGCCGAGAAUCUGAGUUUCGGCAAGCAGCCAGGUCUGGAAACUAAUAUUUUAAAAAUGACUACACCAAACAAGACACCUCCUGGUGCUGACCCCAAGCAGUUGGAAAGGACUGGAACAGUACGGGAAAUUGGGUCACAAGCUGUUUGGUCACUCUCAUCUUGCAAACCAGGAUUUGGAGUGGAUCAGUUACGAGAUGACAAUCUAGAAACUUAUUGGCAAUCAGAUGGUUCCCAGCCUCAUUUAGUGAACAUCCAAUUCAGAAGAAAAACAACAGUGAAGACAUUAUGUAUUUAUGCAGACUACAAAUCUGAUGAAAGCUAUACUCCAAGCAAGAUCUCAGUCAGAGUAGGAAAUAAUUUUCACAACCUUCAAGAAAUUCGGGUGGCAGCGUUCCUCCCUCUGAAACUAAGACGUCUAGGCCAGCAGAACGUAAUGUCGUGGGAACAGGAAGCAAAAAUGUUGCCAGUGGAUCACCAGGGGUGAUGGUGGUACCAUUUUCACUUCCACCCCUUGAUUCCUGGAACUGUGAAUCCUGGCUAUGGGAGAAACUGUACCAUAUAUUGGACCCUGAUUCAGAGCAUACACAGCCUUCUGGAGAACUUUGCCCCAGUCCUGCAAAGUAUUGUCAUCUAGUUGGCAUUGUGAUUGUGACUUCAAAAGGCUAUUCCACCAUUCUGUCUAUCCAGCUGCUUCAGGAUGAUGGGGAAC